ACUGAACAUGCUAAAGAGAUCGUAACUCGAUCUGGUCAUUGAAGCAGGAAACAACUCUAAGCAACAUAAACAAAAAUGAAGCAAUGUGCUAUUGCCGUUCUCUGUCUUCUUGCAUGGACUGAAUUUAUUUUUGCAAGUUUUGCUCCUUCAUCCGCUGAUUGCUGCACAAGAAUAUCAAAAGGGGUACUAGAUGAAAAGAUUCAAAAAAGAAUAAAACAUGUUUAUUUUCAAAAAAGCGGUGUGUGCGCAAGAAAUGCUGUUGUGUUUAUUACACAAAAAAAUAGGGAAAUUUGUGCUGAUCCAAAUGCAGAUUGGGUGACAGAUCUAAUUAUUAAACUGAAAAAUCCUACACCUAACAAAAAGAUCAAGAAUGAAAAUAAAGGCCAAAGAAGUAAAAAAAAGGGUCACGGAAGAAAAAAGGGGAAAAAUAAACAGAAAAAAGGGAAAGGAAAAUCACAGCAGAAAUUAACAACGUUAAGCUAUACACAGUGAUGUUAAUUCAUGAAAGAUUUAAGCUAAUAUCAAGAGUAUAAAAAAUAUGUCCAUCCAUGUUUAUUUCUGUUACAGUUUAACUUUAGCAACAUUUUAUAAAAUAUAUAAAUCACAGAAUAUAACAACUGCAUUUGCAGAAAGGUCUGGAAUUAAUAUGUGCAUGUAAUGUUUUAAUAUAACACAUAUACUGUAUUUA
Molecule: long non-coding RNA, 688 nt
Organism: Polypterus senegalus (gray bichir)
Lineage: Eukaryota; Metazoa; Chordata; Cladistia; Polypteriformes; Polypteridae
Exons: 3
Source: RefSeq, a predicted model, not a curated record